GAUGAUUGCUCACUUACAGCUACAGUUAUCCUAAAAUCAUCCUUUCCUGUGCCCUGGUGAUAUUGAAUUACCCUCUCUUCCAGAAAAAAAAUCUCAUUAUCAGCCACCUGUCAUGGAUGCUUUUCACUGCCACAAGUCCUUGCUUUAAACCUUCACUUUCACUAAGCUCAUUUUCACUCCUUUUCCUGGAAUUGCAAUGAUAAGAUAAAUGUUAUCCAUCCAUAAGUGGGUCUAAUAUCUAUUCUUUUUUGUACCUUGAAAACAGCAAAUGCUUUAUCUUUCUGCUCCCUGUUACAUCAUGGAUCACUGCAUCUCCAUGCCCAUCCCUGGUUAAUGCCAUUUCUUAACCAGGAGUGGUUGGUGCUUUGUUUCCUAUGACCAUCCCUCCACUACCUGGGUGACAAGGACCAUCAUCUGUUGCAGGCUUCUCCCUUCAGUGCUUUCUCUUUCCUACAUGCCCAUCUUCCCUUGUCCAUCAAGGCCCUGGUAGAGAAACCUUGAGUUCAUUGGAUCCAUUCCCCAAAUACCAGCUGGUUAUUCUGCAUCCAGUACCCAGUCACUAACCCUCUUUAAUCACUGCCCCAAAUGGGAUAUCGAGGUCCCACACCUGACUUAAUCUGAAGCAACCAGCAAGGACAGGUGGAGCUCUGGGUCUGUGAUGAUGGGAACCAUGGGAAAAUCUCAAGAUCAGAGGACCUGCUUCCAGGACUUGCCUGGUUGACUGAGCAGAGCUG
Gavialis gangeticus (Gharial) is the source of this 734-nucleotide long non-coding RNA. RefSeq lists it as uncharacterized. The record is from RefSeq and is a predicted model, not a curated record. The transcript has 4 exons. NCBI's taxonomy places the organism in Eukaryota, Metazoa, Chordata, Crocodylia, Gavialidae.